RNAcentral lists this unclassified non-coding RNA (193 nucleotides) under plant metagenome. RNAcentral's name for it is "partial contains small subunit ribosomal RNA and internal transcribed spacer 1". The stretch from base 1 to 47 matches the Rfam family "Eukaryotic small subunit ribosomal RNA", at positions 1786 to 1831 of the family's 1831-position model. The record is from RNAcentral.
AAGUCGUAACAAUGGUUUCCGUAGGUGAACCUGCGGAAGGAUCAUUAAAGAAUUAGGCUUCGGCGGCCAAGUUUUCACCCUUUGUAUACCGAAACCAUGUUCGCUUUGGCAGGCCCCAUGCAUUUCUACUGGGCCUGCCAGAGGUUAUAAACCCAGAAAUCUCUGCUGUCUGAGUACUAUACAAUAGUUAAAA